This 779-nucleotide ribosomal RNA is filed under the name uncultured bacterium. Its description in RNAcentral is "bacterial SSU rRNA". It matches the Rfam family "Bacterial small subunit ribosomal RNA", at positions 8 to 796 of the family's 1533-position model. The record is from RNAcentral.
AGAGUUUGAUCAUGGCUCAGGACGAACGCUGGCGGCGUGCUUAACACAUGCAAGUCGAACGAGAUCCACUCAGUAGCAAUACUGAUGAAGAUCUAGUGGCGAACGGGUGCGUAACACGUGAGGAACUUGUCCCGGUCUCUGGGAUAACAGUUGGAAACGACUGCUAAUACCGGAUGACGUCGGAACUUCGCAUGGAGUACUGACGAAAGGGUUACUGGAUCGGGAGAGCCUCGCGGCCUAUCAGCUUGUUGGUGGGGUAAUGGCCUACCAAGGCAUCGACGGGUAGCUGGUCUGAGAGGAUGAUCAGCCACACUGGGACUGAGACACGGCCCAGACUCCUACGGGAGGCAGCAGUGGGGAAUCUUGCACAAUGGGCGAAAGCCUGAUGCAGCAACGCCGCGUGCGGGAAGAAGGCCCUCGGGUUGUAAACCGCUUUCAGAAGGAACGAAACUGACGGUACUUUCGGAAGAAGGUGCGGCCAACUACGUGCCAGCAGCCGCGGUGACACGUAGGCACCAAGCGUUGUCCGGAUUUAUUGGGCGUAAAGAGCUCGUAGGCGGUUCAGUAAGUCGGGUGUGAAAACUUUGGGCUUAACCCAAAGCGUGCAUCCGAUACUGCUGUGACUUGAGUACGGUAGGGGAGCGGGGAAUUCCUAGUGUAGCGGUGAAAUGCGCAGAUAUUAGGAGGAACACCGGUGGCGAAGGCGCCGCUCUGGGCCGAAACUGACGCUGAGGAGCGAAAGCAUGGGUAGCAAACAGGAUUAGAUACCCUAGUAGUCC